This 2502-nucleotide long non-coding RNA is filed under the name Canis lupus familiaris (dog). RNAcentral's name for it is "lncRNA (ENSCAFG00030011851.1)". Lineage: Eukaryota; Metazoa; Chordata; Mammalia; Carnivora; Canidae. The record is from RNAcentral.
CUGCUUUGCCUCGCAGCUGGAGAAGCCACCUCGCUUCCCCUCCACUCUACUGGGGUGACGAGAUAGCAACUGACGUCAGCUCGGGCUGAUUGCGUCACGACCGCAGGCAAAUCGCCGCUCUUGCCAAAGCGCUUCUUCUCUCGCCUUCUGGAAAGGCCUCCGGAUUCGGGUUCGGUCCAGGCGGCGGGGCUGGUGGCCCGCGUGUAAGCCGGGGCUUCCACCACACACCUCACUUCCGGCGGGGGACGGGGCGGGGGGGCGUGUGUCUGCACGAGGUCUCGCGUGAAGUGGCUCUGCGGGAGCGGGAGCGGGAGCGGGAGCGGGAGCGGGUGCGACGCACGCGGCGGCGCAGGCGUCGGCCGCCCCGAGACCCACCGACACCCUUCGGGAGGUCGCAGCAGGCCCGACGCUGCGGGGGCUUCCCUGGAACCGGGCUGUGCCCCCGCGGCCACGUGGGGAGGCGGCGGCAGAGCCCCUCGGAGCGCCGCGUGCCUCCCGGAGGACGGCGAGAGCCGCAGCCCCGGCGGCUGCUGGGCCGCGGAGGCGGACAUUUGGAAACCAGCUCCGUGGAAGUUGUGAGGCACCCAGAGAGCACAAACUUCUAUCUUUUAUCUCAUGGAUCCAAUGUAACUGUUACCGAAGCAAAAUUCUUGUGGCAACGAUGUUGAUGGGAAAGAUGCUUACAAUGAAAGUACCUGGAACCUAUAUUCUGAAUAAGUCCUAGCACUACUACUUUUUAGCUCCAACGACCUUUUUAUGGGAUUGAAAUUGUUAGUUUUAUGGGCCAAAAUGACAAGUGAAAGAAAACUUCUGGCUCCAAGGCAUAAGACCCAUUCAAGUUGAAAAAAACAAAGCUGGUUCUUGCUUUUAUAGCUAUGUUUGCUUUCAUAAAGUAUGAUGCCACAUUUUUAAAUCAUAAUAUUAUUAGCAUGUGAAUAAAUGGAAAGACUUCUAGAAAUACUUUGUCUUUUCUCUCCUUCUUCUUUCCCUCCUCCUUUUUUUUUAUCCUUAAUUUUUUCCUUAUCUUCCAUAUUCUCUUGAUUUUUUAAUUUUUCCCUUUGUAUUUUCUUCCAUUUUAUUUAUUAAUUUUGCUCUCUUUUUUGGAGGGGAUAAUAUAUUGCUAAGUAUUUCUUUGUUAUUUCAUUAUCUGGAAGAGGUUUUAUAUCUAUUCUAAGCAGUAUUAAAUGGAUGAGUCUCAUUUUUGCUUUUGUCCUUAUGUCCUCAGAGUCCUUCACUGUGCCACCAAAGAAUGGUGUCCUUGAAGGCAAAUGGGUGAGGAAAUUCAUUUUCUUUUGUCAAUAGCUGUGCUUCAAUUGACCUAUUUAGAUAUAGAGUACAAUUCCAAUUAUAGUAACUGUACAUGGCAAGACACAGACAUAUGCAGUGAAGUAUUAUCAUACAUUAAAAGCACUUGAUAGAGUAUACCUAGUCCAUAAUGUUGGUGAUGAUCCUGUUUUCCUCACUGGGAGUCUAAACUCUCCCUAGGAUAUGACACUUUGGAACUAUAAACUUUGUAACACAGCUGAAAACACGGAAGCCAGAACAGAUCACCAAGUGACUCAUGCUUACAACACCCAAGAGAGAAGAGCAACAGUAAUUGCCUCUAUUACUUCAACCUCAUUCAAAUCUUCCUUACUUGAUCUCAAGUAAGAGAGUAUUAAGUAUUGGCUCCUUUUUGGAGAGUUUGAUGUUUUACCCUCAAGAUGUUCUUGUCUAAGGCUUGAGAAGCCAAUUCUUGAGAAGAGCUUCCUGAAAGAAACAAAACUAGGUUUGAAGAAAGAAUGUGAAUGUUGUGUAUAAAGACUUGUAUUUUAGAAAUAACUUAGUGGUGUCUACUGGGUUCCUGAAACUUUCCUAUAAACCAGAACAUAUACAUUUCCUGCUAUGUGAGGGGUACAUUAAGCUCUGAGUUUAUUUUCCAUGGCUGGUUUAUCAGAAAACAGUAUGAAAUUAUUAAAAGACUCUCUCAAGCAGAAGAAGAAAAGGAAAGAAUGUACUAUGAAGGUUGGCAAGAAGGAUGACUUGGAGCUACUAAUUAAGAAUUCUUGCUCUCGGGGAUCCCUGGGUGGCUUAGCGGUUUAGCGUCUGCCUUCGGCCCAGGGCAUGAUCCUGGAGUCUUGGGAUCGAGUCCCACAUCAGGCUCCCUGCAUGGAGCCUGCUUCUCCCUCUGCCUGUGUCUCUGCCUCUCUCUCUCUCUGUCUCUGUCUCUCAUGAAUAAAUAAUAAAAUAAAAUCUUAAAAGAAAAAAGUGUGCUUUCUCUCCAUUCAAAUUUGUCUCUUCCUAGUGUAAAAUUCUCAUAUCUGAUGUGAGGAAGUCAAGGGGAAAAUGAAAAAACAAAAACAAGUAUCCUUAGCUGACUCUACUGGCUUCUUAACUGGUAAGUGGUUAUCUUCCAACUGACUAAAGUGAUGAUGUGAUUGUCAGAGAGUUGAACAGUGAGCAAAGACAACCUCAUUUAGAUAAGUGGAAAGCCGUUGGUGAGCAACUGCUAGGAAAACAAAG